AUUCCUUUUCAAAUUUCCAUC
RNAcentral lists this microRNA (21 nucleotides) under Gyrodactylus salaris (gyrodactylosis fluke). RNAcentral's name for it is "gsa-miR-184b-5p". Its record names the gene gsa-miR-184b-5p. The record is from miRBase by way of RNAcentral. Lineage: Eukaryota; Metazoa; Platyhelminthes; Monogenea; Gyrodactylidea; Gyrodactylidae.